Molecule: long non-coding RNA, 340 nt
Filed under: Gallus gallus (chicken)
Lineage: Eukaryota; Metazoa; Chordata; Aves; Galliformes; Phasianidae
Description: lncRNA (ENSGALG00010003886.1)
Source: RNAcentral
CAGGAUUGAAAACAGCCUUGGGGAUGGCUGCUCCCAUGCUUUGCUGACUGCUGUCUGCUCCAAAUUCUGGCUGAAGUAGAACCAUCUCUUCUUCAUGGAUGGCACAAUUAUUCAAAUAUCUUUUAUAUAUACCCUACCAAGAGACUUCAUGAGAACCCUGAAGACAACAGUUUAGUGGAAUGCCUUACAGAAGACCUUGAGGACUCCCAGAGGGGAAGUCUCUGCCCACCUCUGCUGAGAGAGGUGUUUAAAUGGCCAUACGUGGAACUGGCAGAAAUAUAAAGAAGUAGAAUUCAUGUUGCUGGGAAAAGUAUUUAACCCACAACUUUUACAACAGAAG